This 230-nucleotide ribosomal RNA is filed under the name uncultured bacterium. RNAcentral describes it as "partial 16S ribosomal RNA". It matches the Rfam family "Bacterial small subunit ribosomal RNA", at positions 562 to 791 of the family's 1533-position model. The record is from RNAcentral.
AAAGCGUGCGCAGGCGGUUGUGCAAGACAGAUGUGAAAUCCCCGGGCUCAACCUGGGAAUUGCAUUUGUGACUGCACGGCUAGAGUGUGUCAGAGGGGGGUAGAAUUCCACGUGUAGCAGUGAAAUGCGUAGAUAUGUGGAGGAAUACCGAUGGCGAAGGCAGCCCCCUGGGAUAACACUGACGCUCAUGCACGAAAGCGUGGGGAGCAAACAGGAUUAGAUACCCCUGU